CCGCAAGUUUCUUAUGAGUACGUGAGACAGACGUUUUUAGCCACGUUUUUCUUACGAUCGUUGAAGAGACAACAGCUGAAACUUCCGUCCUUGGUCGAAGUCUUUUUGUUUAGGAAUACAAGAGGCCUUUUUUAUUCUGCUUUAACUCUCGCUAAUUUUUAUAGCUCUUUUGUACAACCAAAUACUUUUUUGGGGGUAAUGUGUCCUGAAAUCAUCACUAUGAAGAAAAGCUACCAGAAGGACAUCAAGACCGCGCCUGAUCAUAAACAGAAAUGGUCAAAAUCAAAGAAAAGGACAAUUCUUCAAGCAAAAGUCGACGAAAGAAGGGUACGCGUCCGGGCCUGGUCAUCCAGGAGACCGCAGCUCAGCCCAGGCCGUGUCGAAAGAGCAGCUGCGGGCGAUCAGAGAUUUGUACCGUCUGUAGCCAUGGCACCAAGAAACACCACGCAGUACUUAAUGGACAUUGAGUAUGCAGAGCGGCUAGAUGUUUCGAUAGAGGAGUGUGGUGUGAGUCGUACGCCAUUUAAUGAAAGGCAUUUCUCAUCGUCGGACUCUGAUUACGAAAGAUCGCUGGACUUCCAGCAGCGAGACUUCGAGGAGCUGUUCUUCAGGAAUGAAAUCUGAGGUGUUUCCCCUGAAACCUGACUUGAUCUCGUCGGAAAGAGAAGACCGGGCAGCUGUGAACGCAUAGACCGUAAUAUCAUUGCGCAGACUCCAACUCGGGGAGACGGAACGCUCUGCGUCACAGCUGCGCGAUGACGUGUAAGCCACGCCCACCAGCACGUGGCCAGCAGGUAAACCCGCUCCACUCAUUGUGUACGCGGUGUAAGAGCGUUUGCAGUCACAUACUGUCGCAGUGUAAUUUGUGAGAAGUGUGCAUGCAUUGUUCUGCCAACGGAUGCAUGUGUGUUUUGAGAGACUUUUACAGGUUGCCGACCUUCCUCGAUGGAUCUAAGCGGUCUGUGCAACCCACUCAGAGCCUUGGGACAAAGCCACAUGGCUGCCUGGUCACCACUGCUGGGUAACUGUGGUAAUACUUGAAUGUGAAUUGACAAGUGCACUCAGAGCUCCUGUAGUAUGAGUUAUAUUUUGAGAAAUAAUUUGUAAAUAUUGAUUGUAUUAAAUGCCUAAGCUUGUGUUUACUAUUAAAACUUAAAUCUGA
This is a non-coding RNA of Danio rerio (zebrafish), 1162 nucleotides long. NCBI's taxonomy places the organism in Eukaryota, Metazoa, Chordata, Actinopteri, Cypriniformes, Danionidae. The record is from RefSeq and is a predicted model, not a curated record.